Molecule: ribosomal RNA, 492 nt
Filed under: uncultured bacterium
Lineage: Bacteria
Description: partial 16S ribosomal RNA
Rfam family: Bacterial small subunit ribosomal RNA
Source: RNAcentral
AGUGAACGCUGGCGGUAGGCCUAACACAUGCAAGUCGAACGGCAGCACAGUAAGAGCUUGCUCUGACGGGUGGCGAGUGGCGGACGGGUGAGGAAUACAUCGGAAUCUACUUUUUCGGGGGGGAGAACGUAGGGAAACUUACGCUAAUACCGCAUACGACCUACGGGUGAAAGCAGGGGAUCUUCGGACCUUGCGCGAUUGAAUGAGCCGAUGUCGGAUUAGCUAGUUGGCGGGGUAAAGGCCCACCAAGGCGACGAUCCGUAGCUGGUCUGAGAGGAUGAUCAGCCACACUGGAACUGAGACACGGUCCAGACUCCUACGGGAGGCAGCAGUGGGGAAUAUUGGACAAUGGGCGCAAGCCUGAUCCAGCCAUACCGCGUGGGUGAAGAAGGCCUUCGGGUUGUAAAGCCCUUUUGUUGGGAAAGAAAAGCAGCAGGUUAAUACCCCGCUGUUCUGACGGUACCCAAAGAAUAAGCACCGGCUAACUUCGUG